RNAcentral lists this ribosomal RNA (1031 nucleotides) under fungal sp. NIOCC F63. RNAcentral's name for it is "SSU rRNA". It matches the Rfam family "Eukaryotic small subunit ribosomal RNA", at positions 64 to 1093 of the family's 1831-position model. Lineage: Eukaryota; Fungi. The record is from RNAcentral.
AUCAUAGCUAUAUGUCACCACUAUAUACUGUGACCGGCGAAUGGCUCAUUAAAUCAGUUAUCGUUUAUUUGAUAGUACCUUACUACAUGGAUACCUGUGGUAAUUCUAGAGCUAAUACAUGCUACAAACCCCGACUUCAGGAAGGGGUGUAUUUAUUAGAUAAAAAACCAACGCCCUUCGGGGCUCCUUGGUGAAUCAUAAUAACUUAACGAAUCGCAUGGCCUUGCGCCGGCGAUGGUUCAUUCAAAUUUCUGCCCUAUCAACUUUCGAUGGUAGGAUAGUGGCCUACCAUGGUGGCAACGGGUAACGGGGAAUUAGGGUUCGAUUCCGGAGAGGGAGCCUGAGAAACGGCUACCACAUCCAAGGAAGGCAGCAGGCGCGCAAAUUACCCAAUCCCGAUACGGGGAGGUAGUGACAAUAAAUACUGAUACGGGGCUCUUUCGGGUCUCGUAAUUGGAAUGAGAACAAUUUAAAUCCCUUAACGAGGAACAAUUGGAGGGCAAGUCUGGUGCCAGCAGCCGCGGUAAUUCCAGCUCCAAUAGCGUAUAUUAAAGUUGUUGCAGUUAAAAAGCUCGUAGUUGAACCUUGGGCCUGGCUGGCCGGUCCGCCUCACCGCGAGUACUGGUCCGGCUGGGCCUUUCCUUCUGGGGAACCUCAUGGCCUUCACUGGCUGUGGGGGGAACCAGGACUUUUACUGUGAAAAAAUUAGAGUGUUCAAAGCAGGCCUUUGCUCGAAUACAUUAGCAUGGAAUAAUAGAAUAGGACGUGCGGUUCUAUUUUGUUGGUUUCUAGGACCGCCGUAAUGAUUAAUAGGGAUAGUCGGGGGCGUCAGUAUUCAGCUGUCAGAGGUGAAAUUCUUGGAUUUGCUGAAGACUAACUACUGCGAAAGCAUUCGCCAAGGAUGUUUUCAUUAAUCAGGGAACGAAAGUUAGGGGAUCGAAGACGAUCAGAUACCGUCGUAGUCUUAACCAUAAACUAUGCCGACUAGGGAUCGGACGGGAUUCUAUGAUGACCCGUUCGGCACCUUACGA